GGGAAUGUCUGAGUUGUGUUUCAAUGUUUUUGCUAAUAUUUAGAGGUGUAACUGAAUACUCUGGGGAAUUUUUGUGGCCAUUGAUAUGGUUCAUUACUGGAGGCACUCACACUGCCUUCUACCAAAAUGUUGCUGCCUUGUUUAUUAAGACCAUAGUGAAGUCAACAAUGCAAACCUUUGCACAGAAAGGAAGAAGAUAUAAAAGGACUAAAAUCUGUGAGAAGACUAGUAGAGCACAUUCUGCCACAUAGAGGGACAGUCAGAACCACUUAUCUCAGUCCUGUGAACUCCUCACUACCCUCCUGUUCUCUGUUACUACCUUAUUACUCCAGAUUCAAAAGUUGUACUCUCUUGGCAUGUCUUAGCUUUAAGAAGUGAAAACUAGGUCAUCUGUGUUGGCCAUAAUAGAACUAGUAAUUAAUUGUGCGUGUAAAAAAGAUCCUUUCUUGGUGUGAAACCUUUAUUGGCUGACUCUUAUUUGCUUUCUCACAAAUAGCUUUCUCUGACUUAUUUCUGAUAUUCUAGAUAGUUUCUGCCAUACAGAGAACCCAACAGCUAUAUGAUAUUUAUAAUAAAUAAUUAUAUUACAUAUAGCUCCUAAACAAAAAUAAACAAAGGCCACAUCUUCAAACAUCUGAUAGUGUGAUCUCACAUGAUGUGGUCAGGCUACACCGCUUUACAGUCAUUGAUGUUAUAGCCUAUCCUACAAAUUAUCAGACAAGCAAAUAAAUUGAUUUGAUUAUGGUUUGAGGUUAAUUUGUUUCAAAUAAUGUUUUAUGGCACAGAGAAUGAGUUCAAAUAUUAGCAUAAGACAAAUUAUAAAGAGACCUAUCAAAUAGUUAACAUGAAAUUUAUAUUUUUAUUAGGAAUUAAUGCAAAUUGCAUUAGUACAUGUCAUAUGAUAGCACAUCCCUUGAAAUGUAUGUACAACUUGACAUCACAGUCCAUUUUCACAGUUGUUCUUAUAUCCUGACUUAAAAAAAAACAAAACGAAAAAAAAAAACACAACCUUUGGCAUAUGCAUCUGUAC
This is a long non-coding RNA of Cygnus olor (mute swan), 1030 nucleotides long. RefSeq lists it as uncharacterized. The transcript is spliced from 3 exons. NCBI's taxonomy places the organism in Eukaryota, Metazoa, Chordata, Aves, Anseriformes, Anatidae. The record is from RefSeq and is a predicted model, not a curated record.